CAAAUGGACCUUUUGAUUAUGAUAGUGACUAAAGAAUAUUAAUUCCCAUUGCCACCAUUUAUCUAGUCUAGUUUCUCUAUAAAUUGAUCUAAGAUGUCUUGUGGCUAACCUUCGCCUAUGACUUUGAGUCACAUUGCCAUGGUUUUUAUUUUUCUUUUUAGUUGUUGUUAGUUAAAUAACGUAGAUGCAUAUUCUUCCAUUUUACUUGAAAUUAGAUUGGUUCAUGGAGUCCAAGAAGCUGCACAAGUAGUAGAGUCAAAAGCACAAGUGGCCAUGACUUGGGUAUGUCCAAUUUGCUCUUCUAGCAGUUUUUUUGUCUUAUUUUACUUGUUUUGUUGUUUACUAGUAAAUUUUGGACAAGAACCAUAAUAAAGAUGACCUUACUCGUAAAUUUCAAUAGCCAUAUACAUCAGGCCAAGUGAAAUGAAUUGAUGUUUGUCACUUGGUAUUUAUUUUAAGGCGUGAUCAAUUACUUUUUCUCUUUAUUUUUGGUUCCAGGACUUCUCGAUCUCACAGACUAAAAUAAAGCAUAUGGCAUACAGCAAUCCGGUAUCUGCUGACCAUGUUACAAGCUACAAAUCUGGACCAAAUGCUUGCUUGCCAACAUUAGAUCACCAUGGUUGUGGGAUGUCUUCAAUAUGGGUCAAAUAUUUUGUACUAUUUUAAUAAGUUAUUUUUGGAGUAGUAAUCGAUACUUUUGGUAUAUUGAUGUCGACUUUUUGACUAGGCUAAUGAUGUUCUUAGUAAUCAUUUAGAUUAACUCUACAUUUUGGUAUAUUGUAUUUGAUUACACUUAAUACUUUUAUUCAUUGAAAUUAUGGAA
This 823-nucleotide long non-coding RNA is filed under the name Olea europaea subsp. europaea. Lineage: Eukaryota; Viridiplantae; Streptophyta; Magnoliopsida; Lamiales; Oleaceae. The record is from RNAcentral.